UACGUAGGGGGCAAGCGUUGUCCGGAUUUAUUGGGCGUAAAGAGCGUGUAGGCGGCCAGGUAGGUCGGUUGUGAAAACUCGAGGCUCAACCUCGAGAUGUCGACCGAAGCCAUCUGGCUAGAGUCCGGAAGAGGAGAAUGGAAUUCCCGGUGUAGCGGUGAAAUGCGCAGAUAUCGGGAAGAACACCCGUGGCGAAGGCGGUUCUCUGGGACGGUACUGACGCUGAGACGCGAAAGCGUGGGGAGCGAACAGG
Molecule: ribosomal RNA, 253 nt
Filed under: uncultured bacterium
Lineage: Bacteria
Description: partial 16S ribosomal RNA
Rfam family: Bacterial small subunit ribosomal RNA
Source: RNAcentral